Molecule: ribosomal RNA, 434 nt
Filed under: uncultured bacterium
Lineage: Bacteria
Description: bacterial SSU rRNA
Rfam family: Bacterial small subunit ribosomal RNA
Source: RNAcentral
GACGAACGCUGGCGGCGCGCCUAACACAUGCAAGUCGAACGGAGCUUAGAGAGCUUGCUUUUUAAGCUUAGUGGCGAACGGGUGAGUAACGCGUGAGUAACCUGCCCUAGAGUGGGGGACAACAGUUGGAAACGACUGCUAAUACCGCAUAAGCCCACGGUGCCGCAUGACACUGAGGGAAAAGGAUUUAUUCGCUUUAGGAUGGACUCGCGUCCAAUUAGCUAGUUGGUGAGGUAACGGCCCACCAAGGCGACGAUUGGUAGCCGGACUGAGAGGUUGAACGGCCACAUUGGGACUGAGACACGGCCCAGACUCCUACGGGAGGCAGCAGUGGGGGAUAUUGCACAAUGGGGGAAACCCUGAUGCAGCGACGCCGCGUGGAGGAAGAAGGUUUUCGGAUUGUAAACUCCUGUCGUUAGGGACGAUAAUGACGG